RNAcentral lists this ribosomal RNA (600 nucleotides) under uncultured archaeon. RNAcentral's name for it is "bacterial SSU rRNA". It matches the Rfam family "Archaeal small subunit ribosomal RNA", at positions 226 to 832 of the family's 1478-position model. The record is from RNAcentral.
UCAGUUGUAGGGAGGGUAACGGCCUCCCUAGCUACGACGGUACGGCGUUGAGAGACGUCGCCCGGAGAUGAACUCUGAGACACGAGUUCAGGCCUACGGGGCGCAGCAGGCGCGAAAACUGCACAAUGCUGGAAACAGCGAUGCGGGAAUUCCAAGUGCCAGCACUGAGUGUUGGCUGUUCCAUUGUCUAAAAAACAUAGGAAGUAAGGGCUGGGUAAGACGGGUGCCAGCCGCCGCGGUAAUACCUGCAGCCCGAGUGGUGGCCGUUAUUAUUGGGCCUAAAACGUCCGUAGCCUGUUUGGUAGAUGCCUGUGUAAAUCGAACGGCUCAACCGUUCGAACUGCGGGUAGACCGCCAGACUUGGGACCGGGAGAGUCACGAAGUACUCCGGGGGUAGAGGUGAAAUUCUGUAAUCCUCGGGGGACUACCGGUGGCGAAGGCGUCGUGAUAGAACGGCUCCGACGGUGAGGGACGAAGCCCUGGGGCGCAAACCGGAUUAGAUACCCGGGUAGUCCAGGGUGUAAACGCUGCGGUCUUGGUGUCGGGAGUCCUACGGGGGCACCCGGUGCCGGAGAGAAGUUGUUAAGACCGCUGCCUGGG